GGCGAUUAAACACUGAUGAAUGUUAUAUUUCUGCCGACAGCUGCUCCUGAACGUUCCACGCUGGAGCUUUAAGUAAAAGUACAAAAGUAUUUGUGUCAAAAUGUUCUUAAAGUACCAAAAGUACCACACUUUCCUCAUGUUUAAGAAUUACUCACUUGUAUAAAGUCAGAACAACAAGACAAAAUAAAAGAAGAAUGAUCCAAAUCCGAGCAGCAGAGGGGGAGAUAUCCUGACUUUCAGUCCAAAAACACUGGGUCCUACAUUUCCCAUAAUGCACCUGGUCUUUGACAUUAGCGGGGAGAUGAAACUGAACAAAUAAAACCGGAGAGCUGUUUCAGUUUCUGGACAAACACCCGACGUCACAGAAAUCCGAGCUCGUUUGCUUUUUAAUGUUUAUACAGAAGUCGAAGAAACGACACGAGAGAAAGUUUGAGUCGAAACAUAAAUCUGAAAAAUCAAUAAAGAAGAAACAGAAGAGGACAAACAGUUUGACAAAACAAUCCAAAUGUGGUCGAAAGGUUCGUAAAAUCCAAGUAAGUGGACCUCGAACGAGGAACUCUUGAGCUUCUCCGAGUUCUUAAAGACAAAACGAGGCGGCAAACCAGACGCCAGCUGACAGAAUUUGUAUUUGUGAAUUAUGAAAUAAAACUGUGUCCAAAAAAACACAAUAAUGUCAUUAAAAAAUAAAAACAACUCGAUGAGGUCACCGCUUCAGAGGCUCGAACGCAGCUCGGGGGCCCAGAGACGCGUCGGGACACGUCGGACAGAUCAGAGAGAGUCGAUGUGACCGGCAGACCGGCUGAAAGCCGAUGUUCACCUUUAAAAACCGAUUUGUUUACCGUAAAUCAGCAUCAGAGGUUCGGAGUUUAGACUGAGCCGUUUCCUACCUGUUUACACAGACGCGACCACAUCAGAGCUGCCUUUGAUGACCACACACACACACAUACACACACACACACACACACACACACACACACACACACACACACACACACACACACACACACACACACACAGAUUAGUGUGUGUUUAUUCAUAUUUCAAAGCCGGAGGAAAUGUUUUGAAGCUGUUUGUGUGUGUGUGUGUGUGUGUGUGUGUGUGGGCUGAAGCUGCUGUGAUCUGCUGUCAGAGGAUCUAGCUGCCGUUAGCAUCAACACACCUGCUAGCUGCUAGCUAGCUCUUCUCCUUAAACCGGUUCAGACUCCCGGCUUCAUUCAGCGAGGAGGGAAACUCUGUGUCAACUGGACAAAACGCUUCACGCCGCCGCCGUGGGGAUUUAAAACGACAUCUCAUCUUAAUAAUAACAGUAAUAAACUUUAAUGAUGAUUACAAAUGUGAAAAUAGGUUCGUAGCACUGAGGUGUUGGCAGAUGGGUUUAGAUUAGCACAAGGUUCAGGUUAGAUCACCGAUUUGUUAAGAUCAUUAGCUCAGGGUUCAGGUUAGCUCGAGGCUAAGGUUAGCUGAAGGUUCAGGUUAACCUAUUAGCUUUCAGGUUAGCUCAGGGUUCAGGUUAACUUAUUAGCUUUCAGGUUAGCUCAGGGUUCUGGUUAACCUAUUAGCUUUCAGGGUUCAGGUUAACCUAUUAUCUUUCAGGUUAGCUCAGGGUUCAGGUUAACCUAUUAGCUUUCAGGUUAGCUCAGGGUUCUGGUUAACCUAUUAGCUUUCAGGUUAGCUCAGGGUUCUGGUUAACCUAUUAGCUUUCAGGGUUCAGGUUAACCUAUUAGCUUUCAGGUUAGCUCAGGGUUCAGGUUAGCUCAGGGUUCAGGUUAGCUCAAGGCUAAGGUUAGCUGAAGGUUCAGGUUAACCUAUUAGCUUUCAGGUUAGCUCAGGGUUCAGGUUAACCUAUUAGCUUUCAGGUUAGCUCAGGGUUCAGGUUAGCUCAGGGUUCAGGUUAGCUCAGGGUUCAGGUUAACCUAUUAGCUUUCAGGUUAGCUCAGGGUUUAGGUUAGCUCAGGGUUCAGGUUAACCUAUUAGCUUUCAGGUUAGCUCAGGGUUUAGGUUAGCUCAGGGUUCAGGUUAACCUAUUAGCUUUCAGGUUAGCUCAGGGUUCAGGUUAGCUCAGGGUUCAGGUUAACCUAUUAGCUUUCAGGUUAGCUCAGGGUUCAGGUUAGCUCAGGGUUCAGGUUAACCUAUUAGCUUUCAGGUUAGCUCAGGGUUAGCCAGCACAGAGAGUCAUUUUGUUGUAGAAAACAUGAAAACUGGGCGGCGGUUCUUCUCUUCUGUGUGAUGUAACAAGCUUUCUAUUAUAUUGCGACUGCUCGUAUCAGAGCUAACGCUAAUAUUAUCAGUGUCCGGGCCGCUGUGAAAUGAUUCUUUAUGAAAGAAAAACCGAGGCUCUGUGAGCUUUUCAUCCACUUCCUGUUUACUUUUCCACCUGACGGAGCUUCUGUGUGUCCUGUCGUCAUUUUCCUGAGGAAGAAACGAGCGUCGCAGGAAAUUAAAGAGCAGAUAAGAAGCGUGUGAACACACACACGAGCUGAUUUCCGUCCGGAUGCUUCUGUGGAAUCACACGCCUCGGUUUAACACGUGAAAACACUGAGUCCAGGUGAGGAGGCAAACACACGCAGGUACACAGGUGUUGUCCAACUUACAGCAGGUUUUAAUGGUGACACAGGUCAGAGGUCAGAUACAGACUCAGGUACAGUUUCACAUCUCAGCAGAAAACGUGAAGUGACACAUGUUUACAUGGAAAUCUCCUUAAUGCCAGACCCCCUUCAGAUAAUUAAGGGAUUUAUAAAUAGUGGAGGAGAAGAAAUUAUUUUUGUAUUUUUCACCUUUAACAACACUUUCUAAUAUAAUGACAAAUUCAGGAAGAAGAGAACCUUCAUCCCAAAGCUGUAUUUUUAGCGUUUUAGUUAAUUUCAAAUGAGAACGUUAAAUUAAGAGGCUCUUGGACUUGCCACUAAAUGAAAUUACAUUGAUUUGCUUUACAAAAAUAAAUGUAAUCCCUAUAAACACCAAACGGAGUCCAACUGACCGUUCGCUAAACUGCGGCAGCAGUAACUAGCAGGUGUGUCACGCAGAUAUUCUGUUUAAUACGAGUUUCCGAAACAGCAGGGAGUGGUUUAAACAGUGUGUUUGUCUUUGUCUGCUAACGUUAGCAUGUCCGGCUAAUUAGCUUAUUACCUAGCGCACCAUAUCAUUAGCGAACGCCAUUGUUUUGUGGGGUCACAGGUUAAAAAAAGCCCCGUGUGUUGGAUGCUAUUCGAGCUACGGCUAACGUUAGCGACUCUGUCCUGCAACACAAGCACAAUCAUUACACAGUGCCGAGUUAGCAUGAUAACAUGUAUUUAGCCGUGAAAUGCAUGUUUCUGACCCGUUUGCAGGUUUCUUAUUU
Molecule: long non-coding RNA, 3337 nt
Organism: Siniperca chuatsi (mandarin fish)
Lineage: Eukaryota; Metazoa; Chordata; Actinopteri; Centrarchiformes; Sinipercidae
Exons: 2
Source: RefSeq, a predicted model, not a curated record